AGGGUUGUGGCUCAGAGGUAGAGUGCUCACCUUGCAUGUGUGAGACCUUGGGUUCGAUCCUCAGCACCCCAU
Non-coding RNA from Ictidomys tridecemlineatus (thirteen-lined ground squirrel), 72 nucleotides. The record is from Rfam. Lineage: Eukaryota; Metazoa; Chordata; Mammalia; Rodentia; Sciuridae.